This is a long non-coding RNA of Bos taurus (domestic cattle), 801 nucleotides long. NCBI's taxonomy places the organism in Eukaryota, Metazoa, Chordata, Mammalia, Artiodactyla, Bovidae. The record is from Ensembl.
AGCUGGAACCUGCUGCAAGCGUUUGACGGUACCAAAUUACAUAUAUAUAUAUAUAUAUGCAUGUAUCUGUCAAAAUGAUGUAAGACCUGAAAUCUCUCUGUAAGUUGAUCCUCUUGACCCCAUGAUUAGGAGCUUCACAAUGUGGUACCACACCUGGAAAUCUCCAGAACAAGAUCUCAAGGAAACACAGGAAAUUCCUGGAGUGGCAAAACAUCCUAUUUGAAGAUAUUCAAUUAUUCCUCUGUGCAUCAGGAGCAUCGCCAUGACUUAACUAUUCAUAUGCUUGAAAGAGUUUGUUUAGCAAGAGCCUUUGCAGGAAAAUAAAAAGAGCCAGCUAUAUUAUUGAUGAUGGACUAGACAAUGCCGUCAUGCUUGUAGGCCAGAACAAAGCCUAACAGACCUGCAAGGGGCCUGGAAAAAAUUCUGGAGCACAUGGUGGACCGGUGAACAAAGUGCAUAUCUAACCUUCGUGGGAAUUAGAACAAGAGUUGUGUCCACACACAACGAGAGAGUGGUUCAAAUUCUUGGCAGAAUUUGUCUUCAAGUGUCUGCACUUGCGCUGGGACACCCAUCUCUACAUGUUGAAUUAGAGUCAUUCCCUGUCAGAUACUAUGUUUUAUUUUCAAUCAGUACUGUCCAUUCUGUAAUGGUUCAUUGCAUAGACUUGAAGAUGACAUUUUGGGCUGUGUCUUGUAUUUGUCACUUACUCGCACUUUGACUGUGGUCAGGUUAAUUAACUUCUUGUGUCUAGGUUUUCUCAUUUUUAAAGAAAGAUGUUUAUUUCUAUAGUUUCAUGUUGGC